This 497-nucleotide ribosomal RNA is filed under the name uncultured bacterium. RNAcentral's name for it is "partial 16S ribosomal RNA". It matches the Rfam family "Bacterial small subunit ribosomal RNA", at positions 28 to 507 of the family's 1533-position model. The record is from RNAcentral.
GAUGAACGCUGGCGGCGUGCCUAAUACAUGCAAGUCGAGCGAACAGACGAGGAGCUUGCUCCUCUGACGUUAGCGGCGGACGGGUGAGUAACACGUGGAUAACCUACCUAUAAGACUGGGAUAACUUCGGGAAACCGGAGCUAAUACCGGAUAAUAUAUUGAACCGCAUGGUUCAAUAGUGAAAGACGGUUUUGCUGUCACUUAUAGAGGGUUCCGCGCCGCAUUAGCUAGUUGGGAAGGUAACGGCUUACCAAGGCAACGAUGCGUAGCCGACCUGAGAGGGUGAUCGGCCACACUGGAGCUGAAACGCGGUCCAGACUCCUACGGGAGGCCGCAGUAGGGAAUGGUCCGCAAUGGGCGAAAGCCUGACGCAGCAACGCCGCGCGAGUGAUGAAGGUCUUCGGAUCGUAAAACUCUGUUAUUAGGGAAGAACAAAUGUGUAAGUAACUAUGCACGUAUUGACGGUACCUAAUCAGAAAGCAACGGCUAACUACGUG